This 362-nucleotide ribosomal RNA is filed under the name uncultured fungus. RNAcentral describes it as "LSU rRNA". It matches the Rfam family "Eukaryotic large subunit ribosomal RNA", at positions 65 to 424 of the family's 3401-position model. The record is from RNAcentral. Lineage: Eukaryota; Fungi.
CCAACAGGGAUUCCCCUAGUAGUGGCGAAUGAACCGGGAAAAGCUCAAGUUUGAAAUCUGGUAUCAACCAGAGUUGUGAGCUGAAGAGGCGUCGACCGACGACGGUCCGGGCUCAAUGAUCCUUGGAACAGGCAUGUCGUAGAGGGUGAAAAUCCCGUCUGUGGCUCGAGUGCCGUCGUCUUUGUGUCGUGUCCUCGAAGAGUCGGGUUGUUUGGGAAUGCAGCUCAAAAUGGGUGGUAAAUUUCAUCUAAGGCUAAAUAUUGGCGAGAGACCGAUAGUAAACAAGUAGAGUGAUCGAAAGAUGAUAAGUAUCUUGAAAAGAAAGUGAAACAGUACGUGAAAUUGUUGAAAGGGAAGCGUUU